GAAAUGCGAUAAGUAGUGUGAAUUGCAGAAUUUAGCGAAUCAUCGAAUCUUUGAACGCACAUUGCGCCCCUUGGUAUUCCAUGGGGCAUGCCUGUUCGAGCGUCAUUUCAACCCUCAAGCACUGCUUGGUGUUGGGCGUUUGUCCCGCCUACGCGCGUGGACUCGCCUCAAAGUCAUUGGCAGCUGUUUCCCUUCGGCUCGUAAGCGCAGCACAGUCGGCGCCCGGAGCUCUGGUGGGAUGGCGUCCAGCAAGCUAUAUUUUCAGGCUUGACCUCGGAUCAGGUAGGGAUACCCGCUGAACUUAAGC
Molecule: unclassified non-coding RNA, 307 nt
Filed under: plant metagenome
Description: partial contains 5.8S ribosomal RNA, internal transcribed spacer 2, and large subunit ribosomal RNA
Rfam family: 5.8S ribosomal RNA (bases 1-105)
Source: RNAcentral